UUGACACAAUGAUCUGAAGUUCAAACUGCCAUUUUCUACUGUCCGCUGCAAGAUCUUGGCUGGAAUGUAAAAGGAAUGUCCAAAAAUUUAAAUGACAAACAGGAUGGGAACUGAUAAUGAGGAAUAUGCUGAAACAGACAUCUGGCAUAUUCCUAUAAUCAGUAUCAUGGCCUUUGUAUACAACAAAAUUGAUUGGAACUCCUAGACUAGAAAUAUAAUUCAAGAUUUAAAUAAGGCACUGGUCAUAGUUUUAGAAAGUGUGGCUAGCAUUCUGAAGGAAGACAGAGAGAUGGAAAGACAUCAAAGAAUGGGCAGGUCUGCCAAGAAAUGGUUUAUCCAGGGCUAAGUACAGAGAGGAAUAUAGAAGGGCUGUUGACAGAUCUUGUGUGGUGCCCCCAUGGUUCAACAGACUAAUUGAUUGGUAAUGAAAAUAAUACCAGGGUUAUGCUCCUUUGACCAUUGAGUUCCAGGAUGAAGAAUGAAAGACAGAGAGCAAUGUAAAGACAUGAAAGAAUGAGCAGGUCUGCCAUGAAAUGGUUUAUCCAGGGCUAAGUACAGAGAGGAAUAUAGAAGGGCUGUUGACAGAUCUUGUGUGGUGCCCCCAUGGUUCAACAGACUGAUUGAUAGG
Long non-coding RNA from Biomphalaria glabrata, 628 nucleotides. RefSeq lists it as uncharacterized. The transcript is spliced from 4 exons. NCBI's taxonomy places the organism in Eukaryota, Metazoa, Mollusca, Gastropoda, Planorbidae. The record is from RefSeq and is a predicted model, not a curated record.